UAGUGGCGGACGGGUGAGUAACGCGUGGAUAACCUGCCCACAAGCCUGGGAUAACGCCGGGAAACUGGUGCUAAUACCGGAUAAGUUCUUCGGGGUGCAUGCCCUGGAGAAGAAAGGGGAAACCCGCUUAUGGAUGGAUCCGCGUCCCAUUAGCUUGUUGGUGGGGUAACGGCCUACCAAGGCGACGAUGGGUAGCCGGCCUGAGAGGGUGGCCGGCCACACUGGGACUGAGACACGGCCCAGACUCCUACGGGAGGCAGCAGUGGGGAAUCUUCCGCAAUGGGCGAAAGCCUGACGGAGCAACGCCGCGUGAGUGACGAAGGCCCUUGGGUCGUAAAACUCUGUCUUCAGGGAAGAAAAAAAUGACGGUACCUGAGGAGGAAGCCCCGGCUAACUACGUGCCAGCAGCCGCGGUAAAACGUAGGGGGCGAGCGUUGUCCGGAAUUACUGGGCGUAAAGGGCGUGUAGGCGGCCCGUGAAGUCAGGAGUGAAAACUCGGGGCUCAACCUCGAGAUUGCUUUUGAAACCAGCGGGCUUGAGUGCAGGAGAGGAAAGUGGAAUUCCCAGUGUAGCGGUGAAAUGCGUAGAUAUUGGGAGGAACACCAGUGGCGAAAGCGGCUUUCUGGCCUGUAACUGACGCUGAGGCGCGAAAGCGUGGGGAGCAAACAGGAUUAGAUACCCUGGUAGUCCACGCCGUAAACGAUGGGUGCUAAGUGUUGGGGGUAUCGACCCCCUCAGUGCUGUAGUUAACGCAAUAAGCACCCCGCCUGGGGAGUACGGUCGCAAGACUGAAACUCAAAGG
RNAcentral lists this ribosomal RNA (802 nucleotides) under uncultured bacterium. RNAcentral describes it as "bacterial SSU rRNA". It matches the Rfam family "Bacterial small subunit ribosomal RNA", at positions 93 to 907 of the family's 1533-position model. The record is from RNAcentral.